ACGGAGAUAGCACAGUCAGUAGAGUGUAGCCUUCCCAAGGUUGAGGUCGUAGGUGCAAGUCCUGCUCUCCGC
RNAcentral lists this transfer RNA (72 nucleotides) under Caudoviricetes sp. RNAcentral describes it as "tRNA-Gly". It matches the Rfam family "tRNA". From Rfam's summary of the family: Transfer RNA (tRNA) molecules are approximately 80 nucleotides in length. Their secondary structure includes four short double-helical elements and three loops (D, anti-codon, and T loops). Further hydrogen bonds mediate the characteristic L-shaped molecular structure. tRNAs have two regions of fundamental functional importance: the anti-codon, which is responsible for specific mRNA codon recognition, and the 3' end, to which the tRNAs corresponding amino acid is attached (by aminoacyl-tRNA synthetases). tRNAs cope with the degeneracy of the genetic code in two manners: having more than one tRNA (with a specific anti-codon) for a particular amino acid; and 'wobble' base-pairing, i.e. permitting non-standard base-pairing at the 3rd anti-codon position. The record is from RNAcentral. Lineage: Duplodnaviria; Heunggongvirae; Uroviricota; Caudoviricetes.